GCAAGGGCAGGGAUUGAGCCCACAACCUCAUGGUUUCCAGUCGGAUUCGUUAACCACUGUGCCAUGACAGGAACUCCCCCCCCCCUUUUUUUUUAAUCUAAUCAUAUUUAAUACCCAUGUCUUCAGAGCUUAAUUUUCCUAGAAAAGGUUUUUAAAUGCCCUGUUGCCCUUUAAAAAUAUUCUGUCCAGUGGAUUGAUCAUACUUAUGAUAAAAGUUUGUUGAACUUUUGGCUUCUGUUACAGCUUCAUGUUCACAGCAUUGAUUCUUAUUUGCAUAAGAAGGAGGUUUUACUUACCAUAAGAACAUUUUUAGCCUCUUUGUUUCUUGAGAGACAGUUGGAGUCUCUCCAACUGGUAGUGUCCAGUGUGACUACCGUGGGACUCUGGUCGGGGAACAUAGUGCGGGUGGGUUUUGAAUUCCUGCAGGGUCACUUUGCUUUUCUUCUGACCCAUCACGCCUGCGUGUCUGGCUCUAUUCAGUUGUGUAUAUGGGUCUGUUCUUUCUGUCUGGUCAGCCCCGGCUUGGGAAGUGACUUGUCGACCCUGCCCUGUGAGCCUGCUGGAGAGCUUGGCAGACUCUUCUGGUCCUGCUGUGAAUCCCUCAGGCUUGUGAGGGACAACAGAUGGUCAAACUACACCCAGAGACACCCCUCUACGUAAUGAUGAGAAAUGACCAGGGUCCUGUUUGUGAAGCAGGAGAGUGGCUCAGGGGAGGAGUGGGACCACAACCCUUCGAAGCUCAUGAACUUCGCCACUAAUAAUCACAAAGAAAGCGGUGCAUGACUGUCCUAUUUUCGCUUUGCUUUCUGCUCCUUGUGGAAGUUCGGGCUCUCCUCUCAGGCCAGCCUGAGGAACAGGAAGCAAGCACAAGCCAGAUUUUCUAGAAGACCAUGUGAAGCAAAUGGACCAUGUUUCAUCAUACUCCUUCAAUGCAGCACCACGACUUUCAUCACCAUGUGGCAGUAACUCUGUUUCGUUCAAUUAAAUGUUGUAGGAAUCACUUUAUUUUCUGGAGGAUGGAGCAGUUCCUGUAAGUGUGGUAUGUGUCUCAGUAGUACUAAUGUUUGAAGGAAAUGGCUUUCUGGAAUUUCACCUAGUAAGAGAAUUAGAAUUCAGUCAGUGUGAUAAAUCAUUGAACUUGCUGUUGAAGGGCCUACAUUUCAAUUAAACCUUUAAAAGCAAUAACCUCUUUUCAAUUUUGGUACUACUAGGAGAUAAUGGAGCUCUUAAGUGGAAUGAAUUUGAUUUACAAGUACAGCAAUUCUUUCUUCAAUUGCUGAUGUUUUCCACAGUAUAUGUUUUAUUCUUUCAAAGUUUAAUCAAUAACUAAGGUAGGUGAGAUGUCUCUUUCUCACCUGUUUUCUGUUUAAAACAUUCUCUGGUUUCCAAAUCUGUGGGGCUUUUUGUUUGACCUCAGGAUUGUAGGUGUGUGUAUAAUAGUGCCAGGUGCAUGUUUUAAUGAUACCCUAGCCAGAGAGAUGAUUUUAAUGUAGACUAAGAGUGUCAGGGGAUAAUGUACCGAAUGAUAGAUGCACAUUAUCCCACAUAGUGUUCACAUCACUGAGCUCCUCUCUCCUAGAGUUAACUGCUUUAGCCAUGUGCAACUCAAAGUGCUACAUCUAGAGCUUGAGAGCCAGAGCCCCAGUCACCUCUGAUCCAAGGCCAAGGGUGGGGAUUGCCUUCAAAAACCAACUGGUCGUCCCAAGAGUGCACUUCUGGUGGAUGGGUGUAAAUAGAGACCUCUUGCUGGCUUUAGCCUAGGCAUUGUGUUCAUUUCCUGGAGCUGCUGUGACCAGUGACCAUAGGCUUGAUGGUGCCUUAAAAUAAUUGAAAUUUAUUAUCUCAUUUCUGGAGGCCAGAGGUCUGAAAUCUGUUUCACUGGGCUACAACGAAGACAUUGGCAGAGCUGUACUCCCUCCCCCUGGAAAGCUCUGAGGCAGAAGGCAUUCCUUGCCUUUUCCAGCUUCUGGUGGUCCCAGCCAUUCCUGGGCUUGUGGCUGCAUCACUUUGAUGUCUGUGUCUAUGCCACAUCUCCCUCCCUCUGUCUCCUCGAGGGAGAAACUGCUUUUAGGGUCCACCCAAAUAAUCCAGGAUAAUCUUCCAUAUCAAGAUCCCUAAAUUAUUCACAUCUGAAAAAGCCUUUUUUUUUUUUUGCCGUCUAAGGAACAUUAACCGGCUCUAGAAAUUGGGAUGUAGAUCUCUGGUGGCAGGGGGUGCACUAUUUAGCUCACCGCAGGCAUCCAAGCUGUUCUGGAAGUGACUGUUCUGGAAUGGACUUACUACAAUGCUGAAUUUUUUUCUUUAAUCUGAUUUCUAAGUAGGCAAGAUAGAUCUUUGUGGUAUGACUCUUCACAGUAUGCUAUGACUCUUCUUGCAAAAAAGUGAAGCUUAUUAUUAUUAUUUUUUUUUAAUGAAAGGCAACUCCUGUACCUUGAUAGAGAAAACAAAGGCACAUUUAACACUUUGGGCUCAUUUUUCCUAUUUUACUUUUAAUUUCUGAUCUAGGUGUUCUAUAUUCUUUUGGGUAUGAAGAUGAAAAUGAUGACAUUGUAAAUAGUUCUUUUAUAAGAGCUCCCCUGAGAAGCAAAUACAUUUACACUACCAUUUAAAAUGAUAGCUAACAUUUAUUUUCUGAUUAGAAAAGGAUAGCUCAUUUUAGGAGAUGUAUAAAACCCAGAACAGCAUGAAGAAGAAAAAAACUUAAGUAAUUUAACAACCUAGAAAUGACAUCUAUUGGUAUUUCGGCUUCUUUUAUCAUAUUACAUUAGUUCUCUCCCUAGAGUGUUUAGCAGUUGUUAAACCAUUUGUCCACAUUGGGUUGAAACACCGUCGUUAUUGUUAUCGGGAAAUAGGAUUUUCAGAAAUGCUGGAAAACUGAAGAAACAGUGCUGUUCGGCUUAGACUCUGCUUUCUUCCUACAGUUGAAGGGUUGGGUUUGCUGACACAGAUUGAUUCAGAUUCAAAGAGAGCUGGGUGUUUGCAAGCAUAUCCUUAAAUGGAAGGCCGUCAGUUGUUAGGGUAAGUUCUUCCUGAAUGAAUGCAUCUUUAAGCCACUUUCUAGUGUGUUUUAGCAGAACACAGUCCCAAGAGAUACUCUGAGGGGAGAACAAAAGUUGUUCAGGAGCAAUUAAUUUUUGGAAACUGCACACACACGUGUUUUAAUAGUCACGUCAUCUUAACAUUUAAAAAACCAGAGACCUUCUAAAAUAAAAGAAGCUGUUUAACCUACUAGAGUUUCCCUCCAGCCAAUUGAUUUUUUUUCCUAACACCUAUUAUAAAGAACUAUGUGGAGCACAAUUUGUGAUAAAACACAGUGUUAUUGAACUUAAAUAAGGUAUAGCCAAGUGUUUUUGGUGUGACAUGAUUUUGAUUUGUCAAAAAAAUCUGUGUGUGUGUGUAUCUGCAUCUCUGUACUAAUAAUAUUGUCAUCCUUGUCAAAAUCAGAGUUUUUAAAAGGUGGCUUAUUUGAUUCUAGUAUUACAAGACCUUUUUUUUUUAAAAAAAACCUAAAGAUAUCUUACAUUAUAAUACAUUAAAUGGCUUUUCACAACCCUUUGGGGAUUAGGAAUUAAAAUCUAGGAAUAGUAUCAAGUAGAGUGAAAGUUCAAGGGAAGAGUGAAAGAGAUUUGUAUGUUUUUUAAAAAAAAGGAGUGUGAAAGCUUCCCAACCUCUCCCACCAAGUGUCAUUUUGGCCUGAAGCUGAUUUAGUUCUCAUCUGAUUAAAUCAGAACCAAAUUCUGCUAUUUCCUAACUGCUGUGAAGUGCAGAUUUUUAAAAUGUGUCAAAAAAGCAAGAAUUUAAUCCUGGUAGGAAACAACUCUCUUAAAAGAGAAUAAUUAGCGUUUCAUUUAUAUCAUCAUUUUACAACUCUUCAACAUAUGAAAUUAUUCAUCAUGUCUUAUAUAACAUGUAAUUAUUAAGUGCCUGGUCAGAACACCAGUAUUAAUUUUGAAAUUCAGGUUUCUAAAUUUAGAUCUUGAAAACCUGAGAAAUCUUUUUGGUGGUGGUGGGGGAGUUAGAAAACCACACUAACUUUGUUCUAGUGUCCAUAUCUGUCAGAAGAAAAUGGUGAUCUCAGAACCAUAAUUAAACUUUUGAUUUUUAUACUUAUGGGACCAAGAGGGGGUCAUGUAAUGUAAACAAGUAGCUGAUCCAGAAAUUGCUUAUUUGAAUUUAGGAAGCAGCCGCAGAUGAACACUUUUACACAUACUCUCUCUAUACACACAUUCUCCCUCAAGUAUUUAGGGAAUUAAACUGUCGUUUCUCUGGUUGAUUAAAAAUUAAAAACCUAUAAAGGGGUAAUUGUAAUUGAAUACCCUUUGCCACCAGGUGAUGUUACGUCUUCUCACUUACCUUUACCACAGUCCCAUGGAGCAGCGACUCUGAGAGGACCCCAGGACUUCAGCAUCACCUGGCAUAAUGGUUAAUUUUAAUGUCCUGGGUGGGCCUUAUCCAGUCAGUUGAAGACCUUAAGAGAAAAGACUGAGGUCUGUAUAAGAAGGAGAGGUUCUGUUCUAGACUGCCUUCUCACUCAAGACCACAACAUCGACUCCCAAGGGAAUUUCUAGCCUGCUGACCUGCCCUGCUGACUUGACACUUGCUGGGCCCACAGUCAUGUGAUCUAAUUCCUUAAAAUAAAUUUUUGUGCAGUAUGUUUGUGUAUGAGUGUGUGUGUGUGUUCUCACAUACAUGCUUGUGUGAACAUGCACACAAAUACAUACACACAGCACAUACCCUAUUGGUUCUGUUUUUCUGGAGACCAAUAAUACACCUGGGAGUUUGUUACAAAUUCAGAUCCUCAGGUCCCAGUUCAGACCUGCUGAAUCAGAAAUAAAAGGGGUAGGUCUCGGCUCUCUCCCUCAACAAGACAUCCUGCUGAUGCUAUUGACUGCCCCAAGCAUGAGAGCCACUUCAGGUAAAUGGAAACAGCUUCCUUUAGUUGAAGACAUUGAGAUUCAGAAAGGUUAAGUAAUGUGCCCAAAGUUAUCCAAUCUUGGUGUAGUCAAAUUUAUUCUUGAUGCUUUCAAAGGAUAAAAUAAUACUCAUGCAGAGCAAUCUUUAAAUCUGCUUUUGCUAUUUUAGGGCCAUACCUGCAGCAUAUGGAAGUUCCCAGGCUAAGGGUAGAAUUGGAAAGAUAAAUACCCAAAUCUUAAUAGUGCAUCACUUUUUCACUCACCAAAAUUGAUGUCCUUGUUUGGGUGUGGUUCUCUCCUGGGCAAUAGAUCAGAAACUCAAGGUCUGUCCUUUUUGAGGCUUAACUAUUGUCAAUGUUUGACUUCGAAGGUUGCUGUGCAAUGGGGGGAGCAUGGAGGUUUCUAAGGGCAGGCUGAGAAGUGGGUUCAUGAUUUCCAUCCCUGUUCUUUUGUCUAGAAUUCAGUCACAGGGCAGUGCUUAACUGAAAGAGAGGCUGGGGAAUAGGGUCUGACUGUGUGCCUGGGAACCAUCAGAAAUGAGUUUGAUGCUCAUCUGGCAAUCCCUGCCACCUGGACCCUAAUUGCUAUGCUUUUGGGAGGUUGGUGCUUCUGCCUUUCUUGGAUUUAUCUUCUCUCCUGAAACCAGAUCAAGGUGGGUGUGAGAAGGAGAAAUAGAUUUAAUCAUUACUGAUGCCUCUUGACUCUUCCCCAAGUUCUGACUGGCCUCUGGGAACAGUUAGAGCCACAGAAAAAGUAACUCAUUGUACUGGCUUUGCCUACAGCUUCAGCAGGGAUUUUCCACCACCUUUAGGUUUUCAUGUAGUUAUAUCUUAUAGGUCAGUCUGUCAGCAAUACCUGUACUAUCAUUAUCUUUUUUUGCUUUUCAUUUGGAUUCUCACCCUCACUCUUUAUCCCUUGGUUUAGACUCAUGCCCUGUUAGUUAAGGGCAUCCUAAUGCUACUACUGUGCCAAGAACGCUGACUCAGGUUCUGUAAACCAUCAUCCUCUAAGAAGCUGAAAUGUGACAUGUGGAGGUUCCCCAAGCUAGGGGUCAAAUCGGAGCUGCAGCUGCCAGCCUAUGCCACAGCCAUGGCAAGUCAGGAUCUGAGCCAUGCCUGUGACCUACACCAAAGCUCACAGCAGUGCUGGAUCCUUAACCCACUGAGCAAGGCUAGGGAUCAAACCCACGUUUUCAUGGAUGCCAGUUGGGUUCACUAACUGCUGAGCCACAGCAGGAACUCCCUAGGGAGAAUUCCUACUGUCUUAGGUAUCUAGUGCUGUGAAACAACUCCAUAAAACUACAAUUUAUUUUUUUUUCCCAAAGUCUUUGAGUUGAUUGGACUUAGCUGGGCAGUUAUUCAGUUCCAUGUGCUGUUGGCUGGGGCUACUCAGAUGGUGCAUUCAUCUGGGAACUCAACUGGAGCUGGUAAAUCUGAGAUGGGCAUCCAUUCUCCAAGGCCCUGUCCAGUUGGCUCUCAUCCUUCAAGAGUUUAUCCUGGACUUCCUUACAGCUCAAUGGCUAGGUUCAGACAAGGUGGAAGCUGUCAGGUCUCUUAGGAUCUUGGAAGUUUCAGAACUUCAUGUCUGUUGCACUUUAUUGGUCAAAGCAAAUCAAAAUCAGCCCACAUUCUAAGAAACAGGAAAUAGGUCUUUUGUGUUUGCGGUUAGGAGGAAUUGUUGGUGGCCAUACUUGGAGAUUAUCACCAUGUCUUGUCACCUGUCCACUUUGCCACCUGUUACCUCAAGGUCGUGCUACCUAUAUUUUGGUAUAUCAUAGUCACCCAUGAAAUCAUUCCUUGAUUCUACCUCCAGUAUAACUUUUCUCCAGAAGAGGGUUCAGGCUGCUGUUGCUGUCACUGUAACGUUGAGCAGGGAAGCCCUAAUUACGGGAAUAUUUGAGGUGUACACAGGAAAUAAUGAACAAGCUAGUUUGGUGAGGAGGGUUUGUGUUAGGAGGGUAGUGAAUUUGAAGAAUUAAGCAGUGACUUGAACUCUAGACCAAAGGGUCAGGGAGCCUUGAACUGGUGGUGGUAAAUUGUAAAACAGUUCAAGGAAAAUCUCACAAUAGUGUAUAAAGAAGAUUGAAGGAUAGUGUCCUUGACCGUGGCCACCAUAUGUAGCAUGAAAUGAGCAAGGCUUGAACCAGAGGGAGAAUAGUAAGGCCCAAAAGAAAUAGUCAUGAAAGACAGAAGUAAUCAACAUGACUCAGAGAGGCGGUGGGGAGGCAGAAAUGAAAAAUGGAAGUCUGGAUGCAAUCAACUCUGCCACAAAUAACAGUUUUAAAAUACUUUUAACGGGGAGGCUUGUGCUGAACAUGAAACUCUAGAAUUAAUCAGAGAUAGGUAGCUGAGAGGCUUUUAUAUUUAAAUCUUAGUUUGGUCUUGUUUGGGGUGGUAGUAAAAAUUCAUAUAUCAGUCAGCUUAGAAUUUACUAUGCUUUGGCAAACAAACAGCUAUAAAAUCUCAGUGGCUUAUGACAACUCAAGACAUUUCUCACGUGUAUUGUGGCUAUUACAAGUCAACUCAAAUCUACACCCCCCCCCUUUUGUUUUUUAGGGCCAUACCUGAGACACGAGGGUUUCCAGGCUAGGGGUUGAAUCAGAGCUACAGUUGCUGGCC
This is a non-coding RNA of Sus scrofa (pig), 7531 nucleotides long. The record is from RefSeq and is a predicted model, not a curated record. NCBI's taxonomy places the organism in Eukaryota, Metazoa, Chordata, Mammalia, Artiodactyla, Suidae.